RNAcentral lists this ribosomal RNA (929 nucleotides) under Phlyctochytrium planicorne. Its description in RNAcentral is "SSU rRNA". It matches the Rfam family "Eukaryotic small subunit ribosomal RNA", at positions 84 to 1025 of the family's 1831-position model. The record is from RNAcentral. Lineage: Eukaryota; Fungi; Chytridiomycota; Chytridiomycetes; Chytridiales; Chytridiaceae.
AAACUGCGAAUGGCUCAUUAAAUCAGUUAUAGUUUAUUUGAUAGUACCUUACUACUUGGAUAACCGUGGUAAUUCUAGAGCUAAUACAUGCAACAAAAUCCCGACUUCUGGAAGGGAUGUAUUUAUUAGAUAAAAAACCAACCCCUCGUGGUUCUUUGGUGAUUCAUAGUAACUUCUCGAAUCGCAUUGCUUUACGCAGGCGAUGGUUCAUUCAAAUUUCUGCCCUAUCAACUAUCGAUGGUAGGAUAGAGGCCUACCAUGGUUAUAACGGGUAACGGGGAAUAAGGGUUCGAUUCCGGAGAGGGAGCCUUAAAAACGGCUACCACAUCUAAGGAAGGCAGCAGGCGCGCAAAUUACCCAAUCCCGACACGGGGAGGUAGUGACAAUAAAUAACAAUCCAGGGCCUAUGGUCUUGGAAUUGGAAUGAGAACAAUUUAAAUCCCUUAACGAUUAACAAUUGGAGGGCAAGUCUGGUGCCAGCAGCCGCGGUAAUUCCAGCUCCAAUAGCGUAUAUUAAAGUUGUUGCAGUUAAAAAGCUCGUAGUUGAAUUUUGGGCUGGGUUGGAUGGUCUCGCUGCAAGGUGAGCACUGUUCGGCCUGGCCUCUCCUUCUGGAAAACUAUCGUGCUCUUAACUGAGUGCGGUAGGGAUCCAGGACUUUUACUUUGAAAAAAUUAGAGUGUUCAAAGCAGGCUUACGCCUGAAUACAUUAGCAUGGAAUAAUAGAAUAGGACUUUGGUUCUAUUUUGUUGGUUUCUAGGACCAGAGUAAUGAUUAAUAGGGAUAGUUGGGGGCAUUAGUAUUUAAUUGUCAGAGGUGAAAUUCUUGGAUUUAUGAAAGACUAACUUCUGCGAAAGCAUUUGCCAAGGAUGUUUUCAUUAAUCAAGAACGAAAGUUAGGGGAUCGAAGACGAUCAGAUACCGUCGUAGUC